AACUAAAUAAAAAAAACAUAUAAAACAUAUCCGAAGAUAAAUUAAAGUUUAAAAAAAUUGAUAAAUAAACUCAUACCACCAAUAACUAAUUAAAUUUAAAAUAUAAAUAUAAAUUUUAUUCAAUUUAGUGUGACGCGCAUUGCACGUGCACUAUAACUAGUAUAUAUAAAAAUUUGAUGUUAUAGUUGAAUUUGUAUUUUAAAAAUUUAGAUUUAAUUUAAUAUAUUUUGAAAUAUUGAUAAAAAAUAAUUGUUUUGGGUUCGGAUUCGGAUUCGAGUUUGGAUUUCGGAUUUUUAGUUGGGUUCGGGUUUGAACAUGAAUUUUUAAAAUUCGUCGGCUCUCAAAUUUGGAGUCAGGUUCGGAUUCGAAUUUUUAAAAAUCCGCCGGAAUCCGACCCUGACAUUUCUAAUUCCUCUU
This 417-nucleotide long non-coding RNA is filed under the name Ananas comosus (pineapple). RNAcentral's name for it is "long non-coding RNA (ACOM_LNC013487)". Lineage: Eukaryota; Viridiplantae; Streptophyta; Magnoliopsida; Poales; Bromeliaceae. The record is from RNAcentral.